CCCUUAGAUGUUCUGGGCCGCACGCGCGCUACACUGACGAUGGCAACGAGUUUUUCCUUCGCCGAAAGGUGUGGGUAAUCUUUUGAAACAUCGUCGUGCUGGGGAUAGAUCAUUGCAAUUUUUGAUCUUGAACGAGGAAUUCCUAGUAAGCGCGAGUCAUCAGCUCGCGUUGAUUACGUCCCUGCCCUUUGUACACACCGCCCGUCGCUACUACCGAUUGAAUGGCUUAGUGAGCCCGAGGGACUGUUGCACCUAGAGGGUUUUCUCUCCAGGAGCAGCCGGGAACUCGGUCAAACUUGAUCAUUUAGAGGAAGUAAAAGUCGUAACA
This 328-nucleotide ribosomal RNA is filed under the name uncultured eukaryote. Its description in RNAcentral is "partial 18S ribosomal RNA". It matches the Rfam family "Eukaryotic small subunit ribosomal RNA", at positions 1470 to 1796 of the family's 1831-position model. The record is from RNAcentral.